UCUCAAAAAUCCACACAUAUUCCCUUCUCUUUCUCCUUUCUCUCAAACACAAAAAAUUUAGUCAUCUUUUUUCUUUCUCUCACACACAUAUGUUUGUCACCAUAUAUACAUUUCUUUCUUCUUUCUCCCCUCUCUCAAAAUAUGAACAAAUCAAUUUUCUUUUAUAUAUACAUAUAUAUAUAUAUAUUUUUUUUUUUUUCAAAAAUACAAUACACACAUUUUUUCUCUUCUCACAUACAAAUACACAAAUAAAAUACACAUUCACAAAUACAUAUACACAUUCAUCAUACUCACAUAUUUUUCUUCUCUCUCAAACACACACUUCUUCACUACACACACAUUCUUCACCACACAUAUAUAUUAAUCAUACACAAAUUUUGUUCAUAUUUUUCUUUUUCUCAAAAACACAUACAUAUACUCAAAAUAAAUACUUUGGCCGAUGAAAACAUCUAUCCGUCGGAUAUUUAAGGCCACUCCAUUACAAACGACGGAUUUUAUUUUCAAAAGAUUACUAUUUUAUAUCAAAAUAAAUAUUUGGCCAAUGACAUUAUCUCUCCAUCGGAUACUUGAGGCCACCCCGUGACUAAAGACGAAUUUUUUUUUCUCAAAAUUUACUUAUUUACAUAAAAAAAUAAAUGCUUGGCCAAUAACAUUAUCUCUCCGUCGGAUACUUGAGGCCACCCCAUUACAAAGACGAACUUUAUUUUUCUCAAGUUUAUUUAUUCAUAUCAAGUAUCAAUAUAAUGGCCGAUGAAUAAAUUCGCCGUCGAUUUUCGCGGUCUUCACAAAUAAAAGGACGGACAUUACGUAUACAAAUACGUAAUAAAAAUAAACAACGGGCAAUGACGAAACUUUUAUAACACCACGACACCACAAAAGGUAUUAUGAUUCAUAUCUUGGCAAGGCGAUUUAGGAGGGCCGAUUAAUCGAGCAACCACUUCGUAGCCAUGACAAGUCUAAAACUUAAUCCGAGCCCAUUUUAUAACAAGACAUUAUUUUUAUAUGUACAUCUAUAUGUACAUGUGUGUGCACAUAAUUUCACUUACUUUAAUGAUUAUUUCUUCAUUACUUUAUCAAGCACUUAUAAAUAAUUCUCGAGCUUUAUGUUUGUAGUUUAUUUCUCGUUUGUAUAUUUGUACAUAAAGAUAAAAGAUAGUGAAAACUUUAUUUUUUGGGUGCUGGGUGGGGAUAUUCUUUAUUUACAUAAUUUCAUCACUUUUAAGCAAAACUUAGACCGUUAAUAUUUACAUAAAAGAAUCAAGUUAAUCAAGUGAUUCACGAAUUAUGUAGUCUUUUCUUCUCAGAUAAAUUUUAAUUUUUUGUUAUUUUAAUCAAAUAAAAAUUUGACUUGUAAAUACCUUUUCUCUUCAUGGCACAUCAAAAUACAUUUCUUUUUGUACAUCAUAAAAUACUUUUCUUUUUCACGUGUAAUUUAUACAUUUUUAUACAUAUCUUUUAAAUAUUUUUGUAACAACAGAUUUUAUUUAUAUAGUUAAUAUACAUAUACUUUUACAUAGUUUUACAUUUAUAUUUUUUCAAAAGAAUUAUUUUACACUUAAUACACAUACACUUUUAUAUUAUUUUAAAUAUUUAUACCUCUUCCCUCAUUGAUAAGUUUAGUCUAGCUUGGUACCACGUUUGUGGAUCCUUAAGGAUGCCUAACCCCUUUCCUUCGGGAUAAUUUGAACCCUUACCUAGAGUCUCAAUAGGUUUUCGCAGACUAAAACAUUAGCUAUAUGCAUUUACAAAUAAAUAGGUUUCCUUAUUUUCCUUUAGAAAUUAGGUAGCGACUCUGUUCAAAUUUUAAUUCUUUUAGAGUCCAUAACGUCAUGUUUUGUUUAACCUUGGUAAAAAUAGGGCAUGACAGUUAGUACAUAUAAAAUAUGUACUAGUAUGUAAAGCAAACAGAAUAACAAGUAGAUGCAUAAGGAUGUUCAAUGCAUCCAACAACAAAAUGAGCAACUACGGAUGACUGAAUACUAGAAACUCUUAUAUGAAACUAUUACGUAUGCAUUUACCUUAUUAACUUAUCACAUAAUUGUUUACCGCUUACGAGUAAGUCAUCAUUAUUAAGGGCCUAGUAAUCUGUCUAAGUGAUGUCAUGUGCCUAUUUUUAAUAUAAAUAAUCAUGGGCAUUCUAUAUCAAGUGUACGACAUAUGUUCCAUAGAUACUCCUGACUAUGAUUUUAUAUGUAUAACUAUAAUCGCAGUCAGAUACAGGGUACGGCUCUCCUUAGGAGCUCACUCUAAGGGUCUGUCCGCAGGUCAUAUGUGCCAUAUAUUGGCUCAAGUCAGGGGCAUCCCAGUUGACUCCAAAUGCAAAUGAAGACACAAGGGAAGGUACGCCAUAAUGUUUGGGCUCACUAUAAUUGUCUGGUCUCGAUCCUGUGCACAGAAUCACGUCGAGCGAUAUGCCAAGCUAAACCUAUGUACUCUUCCGUCGUUAACUGUAUCAAGUAGUUCCUUCUAAGCCUAUGCAAGUGGAUCAUGAUAAAUACUAUCCAGGCAUUAAAGUAAUGCUUCUCAUAUUCCACUAACUUCCUUACUAGUAUCGAGCUAUUCAAAUACUAGUUCUUAACUAUAUUGCUAUGUGAUCCAAUAUACAAAUACGACUGUACUAUGGCCCG
Molecule: long non-coding RNA, 2627 nt
Filed under: Capsicum annuum
Lineage: Eukaryota; Viridiplantae; Streptophyta; Magnoliopsida; Solanales; Solanaceae
Description: long non-coding RNA (CANN_LNC007292)
Source: RNAcentral